This 76-nucleotide transfer RNA is filed under the name Streptomyces naganishii JCM 4654. RNAcentral describes it as "tRNA-Ala". The record is from RNAcentral. Lineage: Bacteria; Bacillati; Actinomycetota; Actinomycetes; Kitasatosporales; Streptomycetaceae.
GGGUGGUCGUCGGCGGCGGCGUCGCCGGCGCGCUCGCGGCGAGCCCGCCGCACGGCACGACACCGUGGAUCGCCCU